AUACGUAGAGAGCAAGCGUUGUCCGGAAUCAUUGGGCGUAAAGGGUACGCAGGCGGUCUAGUAAGUCAGAGGUGAAAUCCACCGGCUCAACCGGUGAACUGCCUUUGAUACUGUUAGACUUGAGGAUAAGAGAAGAAAGCGGAAUUCCUAGUGUAGUGGUGAAAUACGUAGAUAUUAGGAAGAAUACCGAUGGCGAAAGCAGCUUUCUAACUUAUUCCUGACGCUCAGGUACGAAAGCUAGGGUAUCAAACGGGAUUAGAUACCCCGGUAGUCCUAGCCGUAAACGAUGGAUACUAGGUGUUGGGGGUUCGACCCCCUCGGUGCCGCAGUUAACGCAUUAAGUAUCCCGCCUGGGGAUUACGACCGCAAGGUUGAA
Molecule: ribosomal RNA, 376 nt
Filed under: uncultured bacterium
Lineage: Bacteria
Description: bacterial SSU rRNA
Rfam family: Bacterial small subunit ribosomal RNA
Source: RNAcentral